UUGUGAAAGUAGAAGGCCAUUUAUUAUUUUGCUGCUUCCAUGCAGAAAUACCUUUUUUCUUGUACCAAGAAACGCUGACAGUAUUGAAUGAAAUGAAGUGUGGUGUAUUUUUCUACUAAUUUAAUAAAGGAAAUUUCGUCUGCCGUGUGUCAGAGAUUAGUUUACCUUCUUGUACUAAACAAUGCGUUAUGUCUUCGGCUACUGCUGUUGUCCUGUGUAUUUUUAAAUUUUGAAAUGUAUUUUAUUUUAGGUAUUCAAGAAAUGGCAGCAGCCAGAAGUCGCCAUCUUAUCCAGCACGUUAUGGGUACACUAUGGCGGCUCCUACUCCUGCAUCCUGCCACCACCCUGUCCUGACUACGUCCACUAGGGAGUUGGGAGCCUUUGGCGGCUUCUGCCACUGCAUCCUGCCGCCACCAUGUCCCAACUACGUCCACUAGGGAGUUGGCAGGCUUAGUGAUGAUGCCAGCAGGCUGACAGCCGACAGAAAGAUUCAGGUUGCCUCGAAAUUUUACCCAAGCCAUGCCGCACACUUGGGCCAGGCCUCUUGCGAACGACGUAUAACCAGGCUCAACGCAUGAGUGUCGAGUGAGUCCGGAGAUCAAGGCAACCUGCUGUGCAACCAGCGUGCAACCUUUGGUGACCCCUCUAAUGUUCUACCUAUUUCACAGCUGUGCCUCACCUACCAUCUAUCCAAACAGCAUCACCAUCUGUGAUCACUUAUCGAACCAUGGAUGAAUGUUGGGGUGGAGUGAUUUGAACAUUCUAUUUGUCUCUUCAAAUUCUUUGCAAAUAUUUCUGCUAUUAUAAUUCAUAUGUGUCUUUAGUACCUAGUUUUUAAUAGUUCCUUUCUCUUAGAAUUCUCACCAUCUACUCCUGCUAUUAUAAUGUAUACCUGCCUUUAAGCCCUGUUUCUCGUAGUUCUUUUGUACUUGUGGAUGUAAUUGAUAGGUUCUUAAUUCUUGUUAUACAGAAGGCCAAAAUGCCAACUUACGGCAUUUUUUCUUCCUUUGAUAAUCUACAGCACUGCAAUGUGUUCAAGAAAUGUGACAUAACACGGGCUCUGGUGCAGGAUAAAUUUAAGAGCAAUAUAGAGUACUUAUUUCAAGCACCCGUUAUUUUUGAAAAACUCAAGGAUAUAGGAGCACAAGAAAGAAAAUAUUGAACUAGAGAAACAUGGCUUCCCCUCAUAAGUCUGGUAAUAAUGUGACUUCCUUUCACUGCAAAGAUACUGGUACUCGCAUACAAGGUUUCAGGCAUGAAAGCUAUGAUACCCUUGGCAUUUCUCAGUGCUUAUUUGCCACACUGACGAAUGUCAAAGGCAGCAUAGGUUUCAUGCACACAUUGGUUGUAUUACACCUUUUGAGUAUUGCAUUUCUCAAACACUCAGGUUUGCAGCAGUGCUUUAAAUAGCAGAUGUAUUUCCUAAUUUUCAGAAUUUGUUAGUGCAAGAGUAAUGCUACAGAUCAUGUAAAAAUAAUUUUACAGACUAUAUGUCCAUGGAUGCAUGCUUCUUCUGAUGACGUAGCAGUGCCAUGUGGUUGGGGGAUGAAUGUCUAUUUCAGAUUUAAAUAUUGGCUUCCAGGCCUGGGUUAGUCUCCUACACUGAGUAUUCUAGGUCAGAGCCUAGUUACUGGAGGAAAGUGAAUUAAACUAGGAAUUAUAAACAUCAAAGGUCUUGUUCGGGACACUAAUGUAACAAUCAGCAAGGUUCUUUGUGCAUUAAUUUCCAGAUUUGCGAGAUAUAUUUUGACUGGUUUCAUUAAUGCGAGAACAAAUAUUUGUUUAUUCUCAUGCUAGAGUUCGCUGCCCCCAUUCGCAUACAACCACUUUACAGGCUAAAAAUUCAGUGUAUUAAUAGGCUGUUUUUUGGUUUUGCGCCGUCAGUGUUAAGGGAUGCAAACGGUGACAUACAGCAGAAUGCAGAAAAAUGUCUAAGGAAUGCAAGCAGGGCAUAGGGCUUUUUAGGCAGAUGCGUGUAUGUGCUAUUUAUAAAACUCCCUAUGGUAUGCCUCAAGGCAUUUUUAACCCUUUAGUAGAAACACUGACGCC
Molecule: long non-coding RNA, 2049 nt
Filed under: Dermacentor andersoni
Lineage: Eukaryota; Metazoa; Arthropoda; Arachnida; Ixodida; Ixodidae
Description: uncharacterized LOC126531778
Source: RNAcentral